AGCAGCCGCGGUAAUUCCAGCUCCAAUAGCGUAUAUUAAAGUUGUUGCAGUUAAAAAGCUCGCAGUUGAAUUUCGGGGUUCUACCGUUGGUCGGGCUAUUGUCUGUACUGGCGUGUAGAAUUUCUACCUUCUGGGGAACUAUCAUGUUAUUAAUUUAGCGUGGUAGGAAACCAGGACCUUUACCUUGAAAAAUUAGAGUGUUCAAAGCAGGCUUAUGUCUGAAUACAUUAGCAUGGAAUAAUAAAAUAGGACGGUGGUUCUGUUUUGUUGGUUUCUGAAUCACCGUAAUGAUUAAUAGGGAUAGUUGGGGGCAUUAGUAUUCAAUUGUCAGAGGUGAAAUUCUUGGAUUUAUUGAAGUACUAACUACUGCGAAAGCAUUUGCCAAGGAUGUUUUCAUUAAUCAAGAACGAAAGUUAGGGGAUCGAAGACGAUCAGAUACCGUCGUAGUCU
Molecule: ribosomal RNA, 450 nt
Filed under: uncultured Scutellospora
Lineage: Eukaryota; Fungi; Glomeromycota; Glomeromycetes; Diversisporales; Gigasporaceae
Description: SSU rRNA
Rfam family: Eukaryotic small subunit ribosomal RNA
Source: RNAcentral